UUGGGAUGGGCUGGCCUGGGAGGUGGUGGAGUCGCCGUCCCUGGACGUGUUUAAGGAAAGGCGGGACGUGGCACUCGAUGCCGUGGGUUUGUUUACAUGGUGGUGCUCGGUCACGGGUUGGACGCGAUGACCUCAGAGCGAUUUUCCAAACCGAUCGAUUCUGUGGCUCGGUGGCUCACGCAGGCAUUUCUAAAUCAGCUAAAAUGGUUUUAAAGAAGAAGAAGGAAGUUCAGGUGGAUGCAUUCUUUCUUGAUCAUCAUCAGCUUGAAAAACUUCAGAGGUUUUCAAAGGCUGAAGAGCAAAAUCUGGCAUCUCUGCUUGUGCACUGUGCAGAGCUGAGAAAUGGCAUCCAGCAGAUCCACUGUAUUAAACAGAUUAUGCCAUUGGUGAAGCAGAUGGAUCAGAACUCUGCAGGUGAUCCCAUGGUUAAAGCUUGUUUGGAUGUUUUGGGAGAGACGUAUUUUUCACUGGGUGCAAAGAAUCCUUUGAAGAAAGUAUUAGCAAGUUCACUGAACAGUCUUCCUGGACAUUUGAUGGUGCCAGCUGUGCAAAGCUUUGUGUGCUGCCUUCGAGAAGAGCUGAAAACCACAGAUGUGUAUUUGUACAGAAAAGUGCUGGACAACCUUGCUUCCUGUAUGGAGGACUUCAGCUUAGGUAGAGCCUGUAUUAAGAACCUAUUUGAAGAAGUUCUUCAGUUUCUGCGAAAGUUGCUGCUUGACAUACAGGAAGAAAACAGGAGGAAUAAUGGAAAUCGUAUUGUUCAGACUCAGCUGAUGCACGAUUUACUGAUAGCCAUUAAAGUUUCAAUGAUGCUUGUACAGAAAUUGCAAGAAAAUAUCCAGGGAAGUCUUUGGAAACACAGUGAAUCUUUUGUUUGGCAAAGUAUGUGUAGUUUACUGAAAAGUUGCACAAACUUCCUAAUGGAUGCAACGCUCCUGCAGACUGUUCAGACUACCUCAGGACUGGCUGUUAUUCUCUUCACCAGGGCUAUGUAUGAGCCAGUUGAGGAGUUACCUUCAUUGAUCAGUGGCUUGCUCCUGGGGACAGUGGAACACUCAGGUGUGCCAGCGUGGUUCGUGAGGAGCUGUGGGGUUCUGUGCACGGCAGAACUCCCGGACUCGGUCCUGCUCUUCCUUUGCCACGGAGCACUUGCUAUGCUGGAUUGGAAAAAUGGCAGCAUGGGUGAAAAUGGAGAGAAACUAUUAUUAAAUAUUGCAUCAGUCUUGUUGUCAUUGAGUUCAGAGUUAAAAGAAUCCAGUGUGGCAACAUCUUUGUCUAGAAUCCUUGCUAUUUGGACUAAUUCAGCACUGGCUGCCCUUGUUUCAGGCUCUCCAGAUCUAAAAAUCAAACUUAAUGGGAACUCUGAUAUAAUUGGGAAGCUGCUGGAAUACAUUUAUACACACUGGGACCACCCUCUGGAUGCCAUCAGACACCAAACCAAAUUGAUUUUCAAGAAUCUUCUUCAGAUACACCAAACCACCAUUGUUGGAUCUAAUGAAAAAUCAGACCCAUUCUUUGCAAGGUUGAUAAAGCAUUUACUGAGCUUGGAUUGGCAUGUAAAAGGGAAAUAUGCUUCUCUUGGCUCUCUGGUGGAAUGUGUGGGCACUGAAAAUAUACUGCAGUUGGACAGAACAAUUCCAGUGCAGAUCCUGGAUGUGAUGAGUGAUCAGUCUCUUGCACCUUAUGCUAGUGAUCUUCUGGAAACCAUGUUUACAAAUCACAAGGCCCAUUUUACUUCGAGUUUUCAGGAAGGCACCUGGAUUGACGAGUGGCACAACAUCUGGGUUUCUCCUCUUCUGGUAAUACUGUGUGAAGGGAACCAUGACCAAACUACUUAUAUAAUAGAUUACUAUUUACCAAAAUUGCUCAAAUGUAACCCUGACAGUCUGAGCUACAUGAUAAGAAUUCUUCAGGCCUCUGCAGAUGCUAAUCUGGGCUCUUGCAGUACCAGAGGAGCUCUUGGAGCAUUAAUGGCAUGCUUGAGAACAGCCAGGGCCCAUGGACAUCUGGAACUUCCAAAUAUCAUGAGCGGUGGUCUUGUAUCCACUGAGUGUAUAAAACAGGGUCUAGUUCAUCAGCACAGCCAGGUUUGCAUUGAUGCUUUAGGUUUACUCUGUGAAACCCAUCGUACUACAGAAAUAGUGUCUCUGGAAGAAAUGCAACUAAUUGAAUUUUUUAUGAUGUACAACUUGAACAACCAAUCUCCUUCUGUAAGGCAACAGAUCGUUUCUCUGCUGAGAAAGUUAUUUUGCAGGAUACAAGAAAGUUCUCAAGUGCUUUAUAAAUUGGCGCAAAAUAAAACCAAGCAAGAGUUAGUUGAGAAGUCAAGUGAAAUGCCUCCUUUGAGGAUUUUGCAGCAAUACAAAGAUUUCAUGUCAUCUGUAUGUGCCAGACUUUUUGAAGUAUUGUUUCCUGGUUCAUCACACCCAACCAGGUUUUGUGCACUAAGUAUUUUGGAAUCAAUAGCAGAAAUAUUUUCUGUUCCAAAAGGCCUGGCACAAGUUUUCCAGUUGGAUCAGGAGAUUGAUUCUGCUCGUGUCCAAACACUGAUCCAGUGUUUUGCCAGUACUUUUGAGGAAGUAAAAAUUCUGGCAUUUAGACUUCUGAUGAAACUACGUGAUGUUGCACUGAAUUUACAGGGUUCUGAAAAUCUAGAUCUUCUAUUCCAAGCAGCAAUUGAUCUUAGCACAAGCACCAAGCCCUACGAUUGUGUCACUGCUUCAUAUUUGUUGAACUUUUUGGUAUAUCACAAAGGACUGCAGCACAUUUGUUUAGGAAAAUGGCUUGAGCAUAACCCCCAGCUGGAUGAAAACACAUCAGUGAGUACAGUGGAGAAGAACACUUUGGCAGUUAUCAAGCUUUUGUUGGUGAAUGUUGAAGAAGAAAUAUUCCAAGCCAAGAAGUCUCUGCUUCAAGCAGCAGCAGCAUUCCCCAUGUAUGGGAGAGUGCACUGUAUAACUGGGGCUUUGCAGCAAUUACCCUUCAAUAAUUUGACACUGGUGUCUGAGUGGAAGGAAAUAGUGACCAGGCUCAUUUUGAUGUCAUACAGCCUCUCUGCUGUGGUAUCACCAGUAGUACAGAGCUCAUCACCAGAGGGUCUUAUUCCAAUGGACAGUGAUCCAGAAAGUGCAGAUCGCCUGCAGAUGAUUCUGCAGGAGAUACAACCACAGGACACAAAUGAUUAUUUUAUGCAAGCAAAAAUUAUGAGAGAACCCUGCAAAGAAGAAUCUGAAAAGCUGGCUGACCAGCGUCCAACGAAAAAUACUUGCAUGGAAAUGAGAGGCAAAGACAGGCAAGUGUGCGACGUCACAGCUCAAAUGGUUCUUGUAUGUUGCUGGAGAAGCAUGAAGGAAGUAUCUCUGCUUUUAGGGACACUGUGUAAACUUUUGCCUUCACAGACUACAUCUGAACCUUCAGAGGGGUUGAUUACUGUAGAACAGGUUAAAGAUAUUGGUGAUUACUUUAAGCAUCAUCUGCUGCAAUCAAGGCACAGGGGUGCAUUUGAAUUGGCAUAUGCUGGCUUUGUGCAACUUACAGAAAUGCUUUCCAGAUGUAACAGUGAGAGUCUGCACAAGAUGCCAGAGCACUGGCUAAGCUGUGUGUUAAAAGAAAUCAAAUCUUGUGAUCCUUCAUCCACACUGUGUGCAACCCGACGGAGUGCAGGAAUUCCGUUCUACAUACAGGCUUUGUUGGCAUCAGAACCAAAGAAGGGCAAAACAGAUUUGCUGAAAAUGGCAAUGAAAGAAUUGAUAUUUCUGGCUGCACCUUUGAAUGAAUCUUUAAGUGUAAUUCCACAGGUUCACGCUUUAAAUAUCCUCCGGGCACUGUAUAGGGAUACACGUUUAGGUGAAAACAUCAUUCCUUAUGUUGCAGAUGGAAUAAAAGCAUCAAUUCUAGGGUUUAUGUCACCUGUCUGGGCAGUACGAAAUUCAUCUACACUUCUUUUUAGUGCUCUGAUUACAAGAAUUUUUGGAGUUAAAAGAGGGAAAGAUGAAAAUUCAAAAAAAAAUAGAAUGACGGGAAGGGAGUUUUUCUCUCGGUUUCCAAGCCUCUAUCCUUUCCUUCUCAAGCAGUUAGAGGUUGUAACCAGCACUUUGAACAGUGAAACUGAAGAGUUGAAAAUUCAUCCAAGCCUGUUUCUUUUGCUCUUAAUCCUGGGAAGACUGUAUCCAUCUCCAAUGGAUGGCUCUCACUCAGCUCUCAGCACAGCACCAUUUGUCCCCUUUAUUAUAAGGUGUGGGCACAGCCCCGUGUACCGCUGCCGGGAGAUGUCGGGCCGGGCCCUCGUUCCCUUCGUUAUGGCCAAUGAAGUUCUGCACACGGUGCUGGCCCUGCUGCGGGGGCUCCCGGACUCUGCUGCUCAUGGCGUGCGACAGAACAGUGUUCAUGGAACCCUACUGCAAGUUUUUCACUUGCUGCAGUCGUACCUAGAAUCAAACCAGUUUGCUAGUUUGGACUUCCAGCAGGGACUGCAUGACAUCACUACCUGUGUGGGAACCAAGCUGUGGCUGGCUAAAAGGCUAAAUCCUUGUUUGGUGACCAGAGCUGCCUAUCUUGAUGUCCUUGUGAUGUUGAGUACUCACCUGGGGAAGUUUCAAAAGCAAGGAAUGCAAUUCCUUGACUUUUGGGAAGAGAUGAAAAGAGUAAUUUCAGAUUCUGAGUUGAUGUCUGGUGUUCCCUACUCAACUGCAGUACCAGGACUGAUACAGUAUCUCCAGAGCAUCACCAAACUUGUAAUAUCAGUGCUGUCAGUGACUGCAGGUCCUGACAUCCCGAGCUGUGGUUCAGCUGCUGCAAAGGAAAUGGCCAAGCCCUCACUGUCAGUGGCUCAUCUUCUGCACUGUGAGUUCCAUGAAGUGCGUCUGCUGGCAUUGGAAGCAAUACUGCUGUGCCUGAAACAAAGAAAUUCCAAGCACAUUGCAGAAGGAAGAGCAGGUGUAUUAUGUUUACCCACUGAUUUGGAAGACACUCUUCUCACAAUGGCUCUGAAGGAAACAAAUCCCCAGUGUUUUUGCAAGGUGCUGGAAAUUCUUUAUAAUAUGGAUCUCAGAAAGGUGCUUCCAAAGACUGAAUGCUCGAUAAAAAUGAAUCCAAAUGAGCUCUUAACCUGGAGUUUAAACCUUGCAGGUAUCUCCAGCAGCCCUGAAGGUCAAACCAUAGCUCUCAAAUUUGCCUCCAAAUUGAUUAUUCACCUUUUGCAGAACCAUCAGCAGAUUUCAGAAGAAGUCUUGGAAAAAUGGGUUCAGCUGAUAAUGUAUUUUUGUGGAGAUGAGCAAGAGACAGAGAUGCUGUUAGCAGCUGCUGAAGUUCUUAAAAGUAUAACAUCAUUCCUUCUGAGCAGUGACAAGCUCAUUCUUGGACUGUCUGAUACCCUCGGUCUGUGGAAAUGUGUGAUUCUACUGCUGCAGAAUGAAGACUUGGUAGUAAGGGAUGCUGCUGCUGAAGUCAUACAAGUGGCACAGUCAAAAAAAAAGAGCAAUGAAGGAGAGAGCCCUUCCAUUCAGCACACUGAGGAGAGCACUCAGCACUUAGUUCCUUCUCAAGUGGAAGAGGCACAAACCAAUUCCUCAAAGAACUUUGAAGGAAAUGGAAAAGACAAAUGUAAAAUCUGUAUUAGACAAAUAUAUUGGAUUUUCUGUUGAAGAACUCUGGUUACUGACUGAAUACUACUUAUCAGUCAAAGAAUUUGUGUAUAUAUUUGGACUUCAUGCAAAACUAAGCAGCUCCUGCUCCUUACGUAAAUUUACUUGAAGUAACUCAUACAGACCAUGUUACAAUUUACUAAUGCACCUGAGCAUGCCAAGGCCUCUGGAAUGCCAUGUCUACUGAAGAUGCAGAUGAAGUUGCAGGGAGCCACCCCACCAAUAUCUGAGAUGGAGAUACACUAUCCAAGUCCCUUGGAGCUUGCUAGAGGAUGCCCUGAUGACAGCUAGAAGUUUCCUAGCAAAUCUUGAGAUAGCUGUUAACACAUUCAGACUACAGCUGUAUGGAAAUGCCAGAGCCUGAGGUAUUUCAAUCAGAGAGAUACAAGUAAGUCAUGCGACUUCCAGAGAGGUGAAGACCUGCCCACGUAAAUAGAAGUGUCCUGGGUCACUGAAGGUGCAAAAUCCAGAAGUCACCUUGGUGGCAAGAACUAUGUGAAGGAAAAAGGGUGUGAACCACUCCUUAGGAUUUCUUUAAUGUGAACAUCAUGUUGGGAAGAAACAUAGAGUCAUGAUUCUAGAAAUGCCUCAGUCACAACAGGAUGGUUAGGAUCAGCAGGUCUUUAAUGUGAAUCAAAACUUGUGGUAGAAGAGUGAGGAAUAUGUGUGUGUAAUCUCAUUUCAGAGUAUUUCUGAAAGAAAGGGCAAAAACCAAUUUGCUCUCAAAAGAAAUCACUGGUGCAUCAUCUUCCCAUUGAAAAGAGCCAGUGGUUUUCUCAUGGAAUGAAAAUGCUCUUGAAAAAAAUCUUUGGAGUUAGAUAUUUUCCAUUCAGGAUUGAGACUUGGGGCUGCUUAUGUGUUAUGCACCUGCAGGGGAACUGCCCCUAAGUUCUCCUUAGAUCACUGCCACUAAGUGACCUGUAAUCAUUGAGUUGUUGAAUAGGAUAAACAGCACCUGCCUGUCUGUAUGACUGCAGCUCAGUAGCCUGGCUGACUUUUUUUGUUGGAACGUCAGAAAACUUACAAUGGAUCCCACUAUACUGCAUUGAAAACAAUUUGCAAAUAGGCAUUGGAAGGUGUUUUGAUCUUGACAGAAAAAAAAAAAUGCUCUUGGUCAUUUGUACUUAGCACCUGCAGUGUGAAUGUUUUGUGGUCCUGGUAGCUUCUCACAUUUCUGAGCAUUUGCAAAUUUAGUUGUAUUUUCAUAGCAUUGUGUAUAUGUGUCCAUGUAUCAGCAAAAAUAUAAAAAUAAUGUGAGCUGUUCUUUCACACAUUUCAUCCCUUAGAUGACAUCUCAAUAAGAACAGACAAUCUGGACUGUAUUGGAAGCUUUUCAUGUAAGAGUAGCUGGUUUUUUUUUUCAACAAGCAUUCAUAUGUUUCUGUGGCCUUUUGCUCUUUUAAGUGCAUUCUCUUACAUGGUGAAGAAAAGGGUUUAGAAAAUUGGCCAGUAAAGAAGCUGAGACUCUAUUAUGAAUAUUUUUUACAUUAUUAUACAAAAGAUUUAUGGUACUUUCUGUAAGAGCAAUUUUAUGGCCACUUCUUUUCAAAUGUCACCCUCUUUUAACAAGUAAUAUGAAACAAAGAUAGAAAUUAAAUAUAAACCCUCCUAAAGCAGUGUCCCCCCAUAGCAUUUUAUAGGAGGUAUCAGAAGUGAUGCAAAGACUGAGUUAUGGAGGUUUCUGAGUUGGUGUUUUUUUGCUAUUCUGCUCAAAAAUACCUUCCUUCAGUGAGUCACACAUACACUUGAAGCAGAUGUGUUGUAGUAAGUUAGCAAGUGUUUCUCUGCUCACAUGUGCGCAAUAGCCACAGUUUGCAGGAAUCUGCAAAUCUGACUUUUUCCAUCCUUUAGAGAGAACUGCUGGGAGAAGGGUGGGAAAUACCAGUGUAAACUAACAUUUAGGAGAAAGUGUAGAACAAGAUCAAAACAUGUUGUAACCUAAGAGACCUUGAAAAUCAGAACAUUUUUCAGUAAUGUAAAAUUACUCUAAAUUCCAGUAAUUCAAAAAUGCAGAGUUUCCCUUAGCAGUUGUCAUCAGCCAAGUCAAACUUGCAUCUAGAAUGAGAGUUAUAAUGCCAAAAAAGUUUAGUGUUGUAUCAGUACUCAUGUAGAAAUAAAUAGCAUUUUUAUGCUUGUUUUUGUGUUUUGCAAAAAAUUCACCAAGAUACACUUAAUAAUUCACAUGAAUUGGCUUAAUUAAAGAAGGAGGAGGGAGAACUUUUGCAUUGAGACUUAUAGUUGUCUUAGCAAGAUUUACUGGUGUGUCUGGAGCUCAUUAAAAUCAGUGGGUUUUGCAGGGGGGACUUGAUAUUACAUCUUUUUGAAGAAUUAUAUUAUAAAGAAAAUGUGUAAGUACUGUGAUUUUUUACUUUGUAUUCCCAAAUUUAUGUCAACACCUUAAAAGUUGUUGUCAGCCCACUUAUACAACAUGAGAUCAUCACAUGGAUGAAGGAACUGUUUGCUUUCUAGAAUACAAUGCCACUAAUUAAAGUUGAAAGUGAAUGGACUGAAUUAGAAUCAGCUCAUCCAUCAAAGACUGGCUACUGAUUAUUUACUGACAGUGCUUCAUUUAGCUCUAUUAAUUACUCAGUGGCACUGUUAUGUAAAGGUCAUGCUUGAAAAAUUAGGAAAGUACAUGAAAAAUUAUUUUAUGCGCUCAGUGCUGGAGUCUGGAAGUGGUAAAUGUUAAACAGAGUGUUCAUGUGAAUAAUCUAUUAAAUGUGCUUUUUCUUAUCAGCGUUUUAAUUGUGAGUGAGUAAACAGGACAGCAGCUUACAGAUCUUGAUAGGCUCCUCGUCCAGGCUCUGAUGGUCAUGGCUGUGGCUCCAUAGCAAUAAAGGAAAGUUUGCCUUUCUAUUACUGCUUUUAAAAUAGUUUGCUUUUUAAAAUUUUUUUGUUCAGCCCAAAUUAUAUGAAUAAUUAUAAUAAUUAUAAGAUUUUUUUUUUAGUUUUUUGUACUCAUUACCCUUUCUUUCCUUAUUCCUUUAUCCUUUAAAUUAUAAGCCUCUUACCAUCAUUCCCCAGAUGUCACUCUAAAAUUCCAUCUAUGAUACAGAAGUAAAUGUGUCUCCUGUGUUCCUACAGCAGAGCUGUAACAUACAGCUCUUUCAUAUUCAGUAAUCUUCAUCAGUGCUAAGCAAAAACUUCUGUGUAGUUGGUACAGGCAGUAACAGGAGUCUUCAGUUCUACAUUUAAUUCUAGUCAUUGAUACUAGUUUGGAAGCCAUAUAUUACUUUCAUUUUUUCUAGUAAGUACAUAAUUUGAGUUUAAAAAACCAUAUGUUCUCAUUGGCAGUGUUUUAAAAAUUAGCUGAAUAAUAUUUUUACCUUACAAAAAGGAAAAGCAUGAGUUCUGUGGGUUUAGGCAGGGGAUACUGUCUUUUUGCUGUUUAAAUUAGAAAACAGCUCAGAGUGAGGGAGGCUUUGCAAAAGUGGCAAUAUAAGAGGUAAAGUCCAAAUGCUCAUUUCCUCCGACAGAUCUGUGAGCCGGGGUUGUUUUGUAAUAAAACCCUUCGUGUACAGGAGCAUGGCUUAUAUGGGAAAGUCUUAUGUAUACAUGCAUAUAUAUUUAAAAAGGAAAAAUAACAUAGUUACUGAGCUGAAAAAUACUGCUCAGUUCACAUUCCAAAAAAGGGCUUGAAAAGAUGAUGAAUAUGUGUGUGCUCUUUUGCACAAGAAGGGACUUCAAUUUUCUGUUGAGUCCUGAGCUGUAAGUUUCCAUGCUAAUCAGACAUGUUAUUAACUCAGAUCUGUUUAUAAUCAAAGUCAAAGCUGAGAGCAGCAUCACCGCCACUCUAUUCAGGGGACUGCAACUAUUAAGAAAUUAGUUUUGAUUAGUUUGUUUUGUAAUGGUGUUGUGUUUUGACAUCGUGUUGUGUGAUGUCAGGAAGGGCCUCUUUUUAAAGCCAUCCUGAAAAAGCACGGCUAUAAAACAGACUCAGGCAGGGAAAUGGAAAACAUAUGAAGCAGUUGUACGUCAUCUAGGGAAUGGUAUUUCUCGAGAGGAUAGAAAUGAUCUAAUUGCCUUUGAUUUUAUGAAACACUAUGAAAAGGAAUCUGCUUAUAUAUUAGAUUUUACAUAAACAGUCAUUUUAAAAAGUGGAAAGUUUGAUGUUUGUAACUUAAAUUGACACAGAGGAAUUGCAAGAGCCAUCUGCCAACCAUCCAGAUGCAACAGUUACCAUUUCUGCAUUUUCUUUCUUUUUAUUUUUGGUUGGUUAGUUUUUUGGGAUUUUUUCCCUUUUGUUUUGCUUCUCACUGUCUUCUUUUAAUCCUAGUGCCCAGAAGGGUGAUAUUGUGGAGACUGGGUGGGUAUGAACACCCCUUUACUCACUUUUAUUCUGCCCUGCUGUUUUUUUGGUGGCAGCAUUGCAUGUCCAGUAACACCUAUGCAUUGUCUUGCUGUGGAGUUGCACAAUACCUGCCUACCUCAAAGUAGAACGUAUUUCAACAUAGGAAAGGCAUUUUCUACCCUCACUUUUUACCAGCUAUUUUAACUCCUGGGUCGGGCCAAUAGGAUUUUUUUCUUUCUUAAAUUUGAAGGCUUUUUAAAUUUUAUGACGUCUAGGCAUACAUAAACACAUCAUUUUAAGUAAAAAAUAUAUCUGCAGCACUGCCUCACUCAGCUCUCUUAUAUUUCAUAUGCUGAGAAUAGAAUAAGCUUGAUUAUUACUGAACACCAAAAGGAAGACAAUCUUUAUACAACAAAGAAGUGAUUAGUGAUUAGGUGAAAUUUUCCAUUUACAAAUCUAAUAUUACAGGUAUUAGUGACUGUGAUGCUGAAUCUGCCAUCAUUUGGAUGAGAACCUGAUAUCUUGCUUGAUACUCAUCAUGUUUUACACGGAUGUAUCAGAAAACAUGAGAUUAAUCCCCAGUUUUGCCAAGCAAUCAUUCAAUGAUCUUUGUUGCUUUAAAAGGUCCAUGCUUUUGUCAACUUCCCUCUGAUGUAAGAAUACUACCUCAUUUUACCAGGGUGUUAUGAGGUACCAUAUUGAUAGUGAUGUACUAAUAUUUAUAACUUUAUGGGCAGCACUUCGUGCAAGAAAGUAAAAAAAAUAUUUUACCAAUUCAGAUGGUGAUGGUCUACCCAAAAUACUUUCUGUAAUUUCAGGUGAAGAACUUAUCCUGUAUAUUUUCCUUGAAAACAUCACUACUGUUGGUACACUGUUCUUUGUGAGAUUUUAUCUCCGAGCUGUUAUACAAAGCUUCCUUGCAGAUUCACUUCUCUUUCUGUUUGUUUCUGAACACAGUACAUGUUUACAAAAAUUGGAUUUCUCUUUGUUCUAGAAUGAAUUUCAGUUAACAAUUUGCAAUAUAAAAAUUACAAAAUGCUUUGUUAGGCAAGGCAUAUGUUCUGCUUUUCUCCUUUGCCUAUAUUUUAUCCUGGUUGUCCAUAAAAUAGGUGUAUAUACGCUCUUAAUACAUCCUUCAGUUCCCCAUAAUACCACUGAGGCUUUAACAGAGAACAAUUGUACAGUUGGAGGACACAUAAUAGGCUACUACAAGAAAUAUUUACAUCUGGCAUGAUCAAAGCUUUUGGACUAUAUGAAUGUGCAUGUGGGAGGUCUAAUUUUUAUGUGGGCGGAUUCACUAAGACCAAAACACUGCAGUACUUAACCCCUUUCCCUUUAUGAAAAUUCAAUUCCUCAAAAUGAAAAAAAGUAGGUAGUACCUGAUUCUUAUCUUUAUUUUUCAUUUUGAUGAGUAGUAUUAACUAUUCUGCUUGUAACUGCUUGUUUUAAGUCAUAGAGAUUUUUUUUGGUAUUUCAACCCCUGCAGUGUCUAUUAUUAAGUAAGAUGCUUAUCUUGCUCAUGAUUUUUUUGCAUGUUGGAACAUAUGCACAUUUUCAAAUUUAAAGAAACUCAUAUUUUUAACACAGUUUUGAUAGUCUGUAAAACUGCUGUGGAAGGAGCUCUGCUGUAUUUUUGGUUUAUAGCACUUCAGGUUUGGUUUUUGCAGGUUUAGUUCUUCUGGCAGUAAUCAGCUGUGAGCCCUGGCUAUUUGAAUUUUUUUUUAUUCAGUUACUUUAAAUAGUUACAGUAUGAAAGGCUAUUAACACUCACUCAUUUAAAUAAUCUCAACAUUUUGUUUGCAAGGCUCUGAUGGGGACAUUUGGGAUGAUGGCUGACCUAGGCUAGCAGCUUGCUGAACAGGGAGGUCUCGCUCUCCCUUUGGCUUCUUUCCUUCCUCCUGCUGUCCUGUGAUCUUCCCUUCCCCAGCCCCCAGCUACACCAAUUUUGACUGCGGGGCAACCAGCUCAGCUUGCCAGCCAAGCAGAAGAGCCCACACGCCAGAGCUGCAUGCCAAAUGCCUUAUGUGCUGUUCUGAGCCUUAAUUUACCAGGUGAUCAGCAGAGUACCUGAGCUGGCUCCCAGGUAAGCAUCAGGGGCCUGGGGGGCUGUGGUGUAAGGGAAGCCACCUGCCCUUUUUGCCCCUGGUGAACUUGCAUCUUGCUCAGAGCACUCUCUGAAGUCACAGCAUGAGUCACAAACACAGCAUCAUGUGUAAUAUGUGGCUUCUUGAAAAUCAGCCCUGCCUUUGCAGGCAGAUGAUGAUGUGAGGAGCGCUUCUUGUAAACAGUGAAGACCGUACAUUUCUUUUGAGAAGGCACACAUCUCUGGUGGGUGUGUUCAAAGAUUCUGUGCAUGCUUACAGCAUCCCUGGCAGUUACUUUUACAGCUGGGGGUCAUCAAAGCAAUAAAACAUUUUCCCCUCUGUGAAAGUGGUUUUUGCCUAUUAAAUCUUGGGCACCUAUGUAACUUUGCUUGCUGUUACCCAUUUGCAUUACUUCAGCACUCCAGGCCUAGAAGAGUUAAUACACUUGUUUUGGAUUUAUGCUGUAUCUCUUUAUUAUCCUUGUAGCAUUGACAGUCUACAAAUCUAAUCCUGAACUAUUGUAGCACCAAAGUUGUGUAAACUGGUAUCAAAGUUAGUUAAUAUCAGGGUGUUCUGUAAGUAACAGCAGCUGAGAGAGCAUUUCAGAAAUCAUGGAGCCAUUCCUGAUACUCUGCAGGAGUGGGAUGAGCGGGUGGAAGUGAAAAUUCUUCAUCUGCCUGACAUUGGUAUGUUGUUGAGUCUCUGUGAACACCUGAAGUACCAAGAUGCUGCUAUACUAGCUUCUCUAACACAAAGCCCUU
Molecule: RNA transcript, 12778 nt
Organism: Motacilla alba alba
Lineage: Eukaryota; Metazoa; Chordata; Aves; Passeriformes; Motacillidae
Gene: THADA
Gene name: THADA armadillo repeat containing
Exons: 38
Source: RefSeq, a predicted model, not a curated record